GAACGCGAAGAACCUUACCAGCGUUUGACAUCUUAGGAAUGAGACAGAGAUGUUUCAGUGCCUUCGGGAACCUAAAGACAGGUGCUGCAUGGCUGUCGUCAGCUCGUGUCGUGAGAUGUUGGGUUAAGUCCCGCAACGAGCGCAACCCUUGUCAUUAGUUGCCAUCAUUUAGUUGGGCACUCUAAUGAGACUGCCGGUGACAAGCCGGAGGAAGGUGGGGAUGACGUCAAGUCCUCAUGGCCCUUAUGACCAGGGCUUCACACGUCAUACAAUGGUCGGUACAGAGGGUAGCCAAGCCGCGAGGUGGAGCCAAUCUCACAAAACCGAUCGUAGUCCGGAUUGCACUCUGCAACUCGAGUGCAUGAAGUCGGAAUCGCUAGUAAUCGCAGGUCAGCAUACUGCGGUGAAUACGUUCCCGGGUCUUGUACACACC
RNAcentral lists this ribosomal RNA (433 nucleotides) under uncultured bacterium. RNAcentral describes it as "bacterial SSU rRNA". It matches the Rfam family "Bacterial small subunit ribosomal RNA", at positions 957 to 1391 of the family's 1533-position model. The record is from RNAcentral.